AAAAAAUUAAAUCCGAAACAAAUAGCAAGAACAAACCGAACCGGUGGAUUCUUUUCGCGUCCUUCAGAAUUGGUUCUUGUUCGGUUGGAGGAAAAAAGAAGGAUCUUUCAAUCUCUUCUUCUUCCAGCCUCCGACUGAAUUCCCGCAGAUAACAGAGUCAUGUCGGAGGUGUGGAAUCAUUUGACGUCGAUCUGAAGGAGCAGAAGGUAACGGUGAAGGGCAACCAACGUUCAGCCAGACGCCGUUCUUGAGACGGUGCCAAAGACUUUCUGGGAAUCCGAGGUCGAAGCAAAGGCCUAAAAGAGAGAGCAAGAGAGCAAGAGACGGUGUCUCUGGGCCCCCCUUUUGUCUGAAAGAGAGAAAAACAGGAACUUUGGGUCUGAAAAAUUCAGUGCAAGGAACAUUGUACCGAUCCCUUUGGUCGUGUCUGCAACUUGAUAUCUUGCAAUUCCGAUUCCCAAUAUUGUGAAGCUGUUCACCAAAUAUGCGUUACAUAUUUGGUGAACAUGUGUUAAGCAGUUCUUUUGUCACCCCUCUUAUUAUUUUAAUGAGCUCUUGGAUAUGUGAAAGUUUAUA
Tarenaya hassleriana is the source of this 576-nucleotide long non-coding RNA. RefSeq lists it as uncharacterized. The transcript is spliced from 2 exons. The record is from RefSeq and is a predicted model, not a curated record. NCBI's taxonomy places the organism in Eukaryota, Viridiplantae, Streptophyta, Magnoliopsida, Brassicales, Cleomaceae.